Molecule: ribosomal RNA, 275 nt
Filed under: uncultured bacterium
Lineage: Bacteria
Description: partial 16S ribosomal RNA
Rfam family: Bacterial small subunit ribosomal RNA
Source: RNAcentral
AAUUCGCCCYUUUGCCAACANCCGCGGUAAUACGUARGGGGCAAGCGUUGUCCGGAAUUAUUGGGCAGUAAAGCGCGCGCAGGCGGUUCUUUAAGUCUGGUGUUUAAGCCCGUGGCUCAACCACGGGCGCACUGGAAACUGGGGGACUGGAGUGCAGGAGAGGAAAGUGGAAUUCCACGUGUAACGAURUAAUGCGUAGAGAUCUGGAGRAACACCAGUGGCGAAGRCGACUUUNUGGCCUGUAAAUGACGCUGAGGCGCGAAAGCGUGGGGAGC